UUGGGUCGGGAUUGGUCAAGCUUGGUUUUGGGCAAUAGCACCCCACCUGACGUCCCAAGGUCUCCUGACCCCCGCGACAUAUCUCCAGGUACCACUCUGUGGUCAACAAACAAAAGUAGGAAGACCGACUCUUCCACGCUUUCUCACAUCAAGCUUGUUAGAUUAUGGGGUACCCGUCAUAUGUGGUACUAGGUGGCGAUCGG
Molecule: long non-coding RNA, 203 nt
Filed under: Glycine max (soybean)
Lineage: Eukaryota; Viridiplantae; Streptophyta; Magnoliopsida; Fabales; Fabaceae
Description: long non-coding RNA (GMAX_LNC004350)
Source: RNAcentral